Molecule: ribosomal RNA, 303 nt
Filed under: Triticum aestivum (bread wheat)
Lineage: Eukaryota; Viridiplantae; Streptophyta; Magnoliopsida; Poales; Poaceae
Description: partial small subunit ribosomal RNA
Source: RNAcentral
AUGUUGUGUGCAAUUGUUAACUUUCUUACAUUAUUUUUAUUCUUAAAGAUUAAUAUCAUUGGCACUAAUUCAUUGUUCCUUAUAAAACUUCCUUAUUUUGAUUUUCAUUUAGUUAUUAUUUCAUUUUAUUUCCUCCCUAAGGGUAGUACAUUUCCACUAACUCAUUCCUUUUUAGGAUUUGUUUUUGAAAAUUCCUCUAUUAUACGUCAAUUCUUGCAUUUAAAAAAAAUUGUAUAUUGUGUGCAAAUUUUGUCAUUGUUUGAUUUAGAUAUUUAUUUUAUUUUAUUUCUUCUUAAAGGGUAA